This 305-nucleotide ribosomal RNA is filed under the name uncultured bacterium. RNAcentral's name for it is "bacterial SSU rRNA". It matches the Rfam family "Bacterial small subunit ribosomal RNA", at positions 338 to 635 of the family's 1533-position model. The record is from RNAcentral.
CCUACGGGGCGCAGCAGUAGGGAAUCUUCCACAAUGGACGAAAGUCUGAUGGAGCAACGCCGCGUGAGUGAAGAAGGGUUUCGGCUCGUAAAGCUCUGUUGGUAGUGAAGAAAGAUAGAGGUAGUAACUGGCCUUUAUUUGACGGUAAUUACUUAGAAAGUCACGGCUAACUACGUGCCAGCAGCCGCGGUAAUACGUAGGUGGCAAGCGUUGUCCGGAUUUAUUGGGCGUAAAGCGAGUGCAGGCGGGUCAAAAAAGUUGAUGUGAAAACCUUCGGCUCAACCGGAGAAUUGCCUCAGAAACUG